Molecule: long non-coding RNA, 319 nt
Filed under: Daucus carota (carrot)
Lineage: Eukaryota; Viridiplantae; Streptophyta; Magnoliopsida; Apiales; Apiaceae
Description: long non-coding RNA (DCAR_LNC005746)
Source: RNAcentral
CCUGGCCUCCCACGAAGGGCCCUCCGAUGAUCAUUCGUACACUACCAGCACGGGUGUUACGGUUGGCUUCCUGGUUAUUUGUCCUUUCAGCUUUCUUUUCCUUAUAUUUCUUAGCCUCUUGGGCUACGAACUCCGUCAGGUAUCCUGUUCUGAUAAGAUCCUCUAUGUGGUCUUUAAGAUGAAUACAUUCCGCUGUGUCGUGCCCAUUCAAAUCGUGGAAAGCGCAAUAUUUUCCCUGGUCUUUCUUUCCAGGGGGUCCACUUCGAAAGGGCUUCCGGAAGAGUCUCGCCUUAUCUCCGACCUCAAAAAUGUGAUCUAU